RNAcentral lists this ribosomal RNA (448 nucleotides) under uncultured bacterium. Its description in RNAcentral is "bacterial SSU rRNA". It matches the Rfam family "Bacterial small subunit ribosomal RNA", at positions 28 to 517 of the family's 1533-position model. The record is from RNAcentral.
GACGAACGCUGGCGGCAGGCCUCAAACAUGCAAGUCUAGGGGGUGUAGCAAUACAUCACCGGCGGACGGGUGCGUAACGCGUGGGAAUAUACCUAUCGAUUCGGAACAACUGAGGGAAACUUCAGCUAAUACCGAAUACGUCCUAACGGAGAAAGAUUUAUCGUCGAUAGAUUAGCCCGCGUUCGAUUAGCUAGUUGGUGGGGUAACGGCCCACCAAGGCGACGAUCGAUAGCUGUUCUGAGAGGAAGAUCAGCCACACUGGGACUGAGACACGGCCCAGACUCCUACGGGAGGCAGCAGUUGGGAAUCUUGGACAAUGGGGGGAAACCCUGAUCCAGCCAUGCCGCGUGAGUGAUGAAGGCCUUCGGGUUGUAAAACUACUUUCGUCGCACGACGAUAAUGACGGUAGUGCGAGAAGAAGCUCCGGCUAACUUCGUGCCAGCAGCCG